AGAGUUUGAUCCUGGCUCAGAUAGAACGCUGGCGGCAGGCCUAACACAUGCAAGUCGAGCGCGAAAGUCUUCGGAUGAGUAGAGCGGCGGACGGGUGAGUAACGCGUAGGAAUCUACCUGGUAGUGGGGGAUAACUCGGGGAAACUCGAGCUAAUACCGCAUACGUCCUGAGGGGGAAAGUGGGGGCUCGCAAGAACCUCACGCUAUCAGAAGAGCCUGCGUUGGAUUAGCUAGUUGGUAGGGUAAAGGCCUACCAAGGCGACGAUCCAUAGCUGGUCUGAGAGGAUGAUCAGCCACACUGGGACUGAGACACGGCCCAGACUCCUACGGGAGGCAGCAGUGGGGAAUAUUGGACAAUGGGGGCAACCCUGAUCCAGCCAUGCCGCGUGUGUGAAGAAGGCCUUCGGGUUGUAAAGCACUUUAAGCAGGGAGGAAGGCUCGUGCGCUAAUACCGUACGGGAUUGACGUUACCUGCAGAAUAAGCACCGGCUAACUCCGUGCCAGCAGCCGCGGUAA
RNAcentral lists this ribosomal RNA (516 nucleotides) under uncultured bacterium. Its description in RNAcentral is "bacterial SSU rRNA". It matches the Rfam family "Bacterial small subunit ribosomal RNA", at positions 8 to 523 of the family's 1533-position model. The record is from RNAcentral.